CUAAGCAUAUCAAUAAGCGGAGGAAAAGAAACUAACAAGGAUUCCCAUAGUAACUGCGAGUGAAGCGGGAAAAGCUCAAAUUUAAAAUCUGGCAGUCUUUUGGCUGCCCGAGUUGUAAUCUAGAGAAGUGUUACCCGCGCUGGACCGUGUACAAGUCUCCUGGGAUGGAGCGUCAUAGAGGGUGAGAAUCCCGUCUCUGACACGGACUACCAGGGCUUUUGUGGUAUGCUCUCAAAGAGUCGAGUUGUUUGGGAAUGCAGCUCAAAAUGGGUGGUAAAUUCCAUCUAAAGCUAAAUAUUGGCGAGAGACCGAUAGCGAACAAGUACCGUGAGGGAAAGAUGAAAAGAACUUUGGAAAGAGAGUUAAACAGUACGUGAAAUUGCUGAAAGGGAAACGCUUGAAGUCAGUCGCGUUGGCCAGGGAUCAGCCUCGCACCUGCGUGGUGUAUUUCCUGGUUGAUGGGUCAGCAUCAAUUUUGACCGCUGGAAAAAGUCUUGGGGAAUGUGGCAUCUUUGGAUGUGUUAUAGCCCCUUGUCACAUACGGCGGUUGGGAUUGAGGAACUCAGCAUGCCGCAAGGCCGGGUUGGUUUCAACCACGUUCGUGCUUAGGAUGCUGGCAUAAUGGCUUUAAUCGACCCGUCUUGAAACACGGACCAAGGAGUCUAACAUGCCUGCGAGUGUUUGGGUGGAAAACCCGAGUGCGCAAUGAAAGUGAAAGUUGAGAUCCCUGUCGUGGGGAGCAUCGACGCCCGGACCAGAGCUUUUGGGACGGAUCCGCGGUAGAGCAUGUAUGUUGGGACCCGAAAGAUGGUGAACUAUGCCUGAAUAGGGUGAAGCCAGAGGAAACUCUGGUGGAGGCUCGUAGCGAUUCUGACGUGCAAAUCGAUCGUCAAAUUUGGGUAUAGGGGCGAAAGACUAAUCGAACCAU
RNAcentral lists this ribosomal RNA (928 nucleotides) under Dictyocephalos sp. RNAcentral describes it as "partial large subunit ribosomal RNA". It matches the Rfam family "Eukaryotic large subunit ribosomal RNA", at positions 34 to 943 of the family's 3401-position model. Lineage: Eukaryota; Fungi; Basidiomycota; Agaricomycetes; Agaricales; Agaricaceae. The record is from RNAcentral.